Molecule: long non-coding RNA, 3721 nt
Filed under: Actinidia chinensis (golden kiwifruit)
Lineage: Eukaryota; Viridiplantae; Streptophyta; Magnoliopsida; Ericales; Actinidiaceae
Description: long non-coding RNA (ACHI_LNC005102)
Source: RNAcentral
UCUUUGAUUUAUGUUCAUAUCUCCUAGAUCUUGUGUUAUGAUUUAGAAAAUUUCUAACAGCACUCUAUAGCUCCAUGCAGAAUUCUAAUUAGUGCCACCUUAAAACCAUAAGCCCUAUCUUCCUCCUCGGAUUCCAGAAUUCUAGGGUUUUGCAUUGUAAUUAAGGGGGGGUGUAGAUCUCAGAAAGCAACUGUGGCUAUGGAUCUAAGGGUGGGAGAGGGCCGGUUAGGUUGCUCAAAAUGGUGGAUGGAGUGUAUUUAGUAAAUUGCCAAUCACUCUCUCGUUCUAGCAUUUGAAUAAGAGAAAUUACUCACCCCAACCUUCAAAAAAGUUUAUUUGUGAUUAUGAUUGACCUAUAUUACUAGCAUUUUUAGCUUGACACUUAUCAGCGUGUCUCUUUAAGUAGUUUGUACCGUUGAUAGAACUUGUAAAAAUACAUUCACAGUAAUUACAAAAAGCUUUAUUCACUAUUUUUUCAUUUUCAGUGAUUGAACUAGUUGAAAAUAUUGCCAAACUAUCGAUCUUACUCUCUUAGAUGUCCUACCGACGCUACUAGAUGUGCUCGUGUUGGCAGCGGGUUCGAUUGAAUUAUUUGAGGUCAUUUCAGGUAUAUUAUCAUCACUCUAGGCCUUAAACUCAUUGUAUCUAGCCUCUUCAAAAUCUUUUAAAAUGUAUCAUGAUCCAUUUUUUUUAAAAGUAUUUUUUUUAAAUACUAACGAUAAAAUAAAAUAAAUUUUGAUACAACAAUACCUCAAGUCCGAAGCGUUUACAAUAUCGGGAUUCAACACUUCUUCACAUUUGAGAAAUUUCAAGCAAUCAAGUAAUUGAAAUUUCUUCAACACUUUCAGAAAAUUAAAAUCUUCUUGAUAUUUGUAGAAUAUUGAGAGGUAAGUAUAGAAUUAUUAGAUUGAGUAAAAAUUGAGUAAUAAAAAAGUAUGGAGGAUUAGAGGUAUUUAUAAGAAAUUUUGUGAGCUCAUUUGAUCAAUUUAUAGUUGUUGUGGAGGGGUAUUUGAGUUAUUUAUAGCUCAAUUAUCAUUUCACUCAAAAACUAGUAGUUAUAUAGUUGCUGACGGGCCGAGCGAGUUGGGUGGCGUGGUGGGCCGUGCUAGUUGGGUUUCGUGUCCAAACGGGCGAGGCCGGACUUCGUUAGGAGUACCUAGCCUAAGUCCGGUUGGCGGCGAGCUUUAGGCCAUACCCAUGCUCGAAUGGGCCAACCGACCUAGCCCGUGCCAAGUCCAGGCCGUACAGAGGGCGGGCUCAUCAGACUGAACUUCUAAAUGCAAACAAAAGAAGUAUAGGGUUAAAUUUGAAAAAAAUAAAAUACUAAGGUUUAAUCAGUUACAAUGGUUAAAACUUGGACUUUUUAUGUAGUUUUCUCCAAUAAUUUCUAUUUUAAAAGGAAAUUAAUUUUCUAUUUUAUAUAUUUAAAAUAAAAAUAAAAAAGAUAGAGAAUGACGAGAAGGGAAAAAAAUUAAUUAAAAUGGUGAUACCACGUCACCGUUGCCACGUAGUAUAUAAUUCAAUUACAAACUGCCAUGUUUGCAUAAAUGUUAACAUAUCAGUUAUUAAAUUCACCAUCUAGAGUUCCUCAUUUUAUUUGUAAGUUUAUUAAUAAUUAGUUAUACUAUGUUAUCAAUACCACGUGAUAUAAUAAUUACAUUGAAGAUUUACUUGACGAGAAGGACAGGGGAAAACGAAAAAAAGACACAAAUUAAAAUUAAAUAGUGAGAAAGUCAAAGCUAAUUAAUGGAGAGAGAGAACCAACCAAUUAUAAGUUAGGGAAUAAUUUUUUCGUCCUGGCACAGCAAGAUUUUAUGAUUUUGAUAUUCUAAUUUGACCCUUUUAAUUUGAUAUUAAGAUUGAUUGUUUCACUAAUGUGAUAAUUUUUUAAAAACAUGAAUGACACGUGCUAUUAUCAUUCAAUACUAAAUUAUUAUGUAAGUAUAAUGAAUCUCAUUAUAUUUAUAUUAUGGUUAUUUAUUUUUUAAAAUUGACAAUUUCGUUCAAGUAAUAAGUUUCUUUUAUUUUUUAUAAAUAUUCAUUAUUAAAUUGUAAGAACACGUAUCGCUGUUAUAAAUGAAUUUUUACUCGUUAAUGAUGGAUUGGGACCCCAUGGAUAUUUCUCCUCCGAAGAUCAUGCGGAGAUUUUCACCUCAUCGUGCCAUGUGCUUUUUUUCAUCCUUGGCCUAAAAAGAAGCUUUGACGUGAAGACAAGAUCUUUUAAAUAGGACCGGACAUCAUCGUUUCACGACGGUGGCUGCUUGAAAGUAACGCUGUACCCUUGUUUUAUUUUACUCUAAUCAAAUUGUUUUAAUAGUUGUCUUUCUAAUUUCUACAACUCGAAUUUUGUAGGCUAGCAAAUAUGAUAAAAAAUCAGAAUAUAAAAAUUUAAGAAUUAGGAAAGGCACAUUUAGAAUGCAUAUUUAAGAUAGUAAUUUUCUCGCUAUGAUGCAAAUAAACUCUUGAAAAUUUUAUCUCAAAAAUACAAUGCCUAUUAAUUUAAGAUUAAUUAAGGCUGCACUCCUUAAUAAUCUUAGGAUCAGAAUAUCACCCCAAAAAAGAAUAAUAAUAAAGAAUAGAAAGAGAGAAAAAUUUUCACUUCAUUUUGGAUUUCUUUAGUCUUAUUUAUAGAGAAUCAAGGAUAUCUCAAACUAUCAUACAUUUUCACUGAUAUGGGACUAAAGCCUCAAUCGUUUAAAGUUCGUAAUUUUUUGCAUACUAGCCGUUUUGGACAAAGUUCCAAUGGUCAAAAUUAUAGCCGUUGUGAGAUGAAGUCCCAACAGACUAAAAUUAAAACGAAACAACGCAUACUAAAUUAAACGAUAUUAAAACAAUCAUUAAUUAAAAUAAUAAUUAUUAUCAUUAAUUUAAAUUUUAAACUAAAAUCUCAUUUUUUUUCUCCUUUAUAUAUAUAUAGUUGAAAAGAAUAGAAGAAGAAUUUGUAGUAUGCUGAGAUCGAGAUCAUAAGUAUUUAUACACAAAGUAAAUUAAGUGAGGGGGAACAUGAUCCCUAAUUUAGGCUAAAAGUAAUGGGACAUGAUUCCUAAUUUAGGCUAAUAGUAAGGGGACAUGAUCCCUAAUUUAUGUCCUAAAUUGUGCCAUAAUAUAUGACACAAUAUAUUCUAAUCAAUCCUUAUUUUCAACACUUUCCCUCGAGCUGAGAGAAGAUACCAAUCAAGCUCCCAGUUUGACAAUAGAGGACUAAAGCGGAGACCGAACAAACUGGAAGACCCUAAUGGGAAAAGACAUUGAAAAAUUGAUAGAAAAGGCUAUGCAAGAUUGCAGGUUGAACGAUGCAGUAAGAGGCUGUGUAGAGAUAGUAAAGGCCCAAACGUCUAAAAGACCUCAAGAUAUCGACGACAAAGGCUAUGUGAGGUCGUAGACUGCAAGAGGCUGCAGGAUGUUGCAUGAGGCAAUAUGAGACUGCAAAGGGGUUGCAGGAAGGCCUAAAAGGCUGCACAAAGGCCGCAGGAAUAUCCAAGAGGUUGCAGGAAGUCUGCAGGAAGCUCCAAGAGACUGCAAGAAGUUUUAGAAGCCUGUAGGAGGCUGUUGGGGGCUGGAAAAGGGGUUGUAAGAGGCUGCAGGAAGGAAGCAGGGGCUGCAUCCGGCCACGACAGAGCCGACAACGAUGACGAAAGUCGAAGGGGCUAACCAAGAGCAACCUUGCUCUGAUACCAAGUUAAAAAGAAUAGAAAAAAAAUUUGUAGUAUAUUAAGAUUGA